Meriones unguiculatus (Mongolian gerbil) is the source of this 106-nucleotide small nuclear RNA. Lineage: Eukaryota; Metazoa; Chordata; Mammalia; Rodentia; Muridae. The record is from Ensembl.
GUACUCGAUAUGGCAACACACUUACUAAAAUUGGACCAAUACAGAGGUGGUUAGCACGGCCCUGUGCAAGGGUGACAUGCGAAUUUGUGAAGUGUUCCUAUUUUUG